UAGCGGCGAACGGGUGAGGAACACGUGAGGAAUCUGCCUUCAACACUGGGAUAACUCCGGGAAACCGGGGCUAAUACCGGAUACGAGCCUUGAUCGCAUGAUCGAGGCUGGAAAGUUUUUCGGUUGAAGAUGACCUCGCGGCCUAUCAGCUUGUUGGUGAGGUAAUGGCUCACCAAGGCGACGACGGGUAGCCGGCCUGAGAGGGCGACCGGCCACACUGGGACUGAGACACGGCCCAGACUCCUACGGGAGGCAGCAGUGGGGAAUAUUGGGCAAUGGAGGAAACUCUGACCCAGCGACGCCGCGUGCGGGAUGAAGGCCUUCGGGUUGUAAACCGCUUUCAGUAGGGAAGAAGCGAAAGUGACGGUACCUACAGAAGAAGCACCGGCUAACUAUGUGCCAGCAGCCGCGGUAAUACAUAGGGUGCAAGCGUUGUCCGGAAUUAUUGGGCGUAAAGAGCUCGUAGGUGGUUUGAUACGUCGGGUGUGAAAUUCAGGGGCUCAACCCCUGACCUGCAUUCGAUACGGUCAAGCUAGAGUUUGGUAGGGGAGACUGGAAUUCCUGGUGUAGCGGUGGAAUGCGCAGAUAUCAGGAGGAACACCGAUGGCGAAGGCAGGUCUCUGGGCCAAUACUGACACUGAGGAGCGAAAGCGUGGGGAGCGAACAGGAUUAGAUACCCUGGUAGUCCACGCCGUAAACGGUGGGCGCUAGUUGUGCGAACCUUCCACGGUUUGUGCGACGCAGCUAACGCAUUAAGCGCCCCGCCUGGGGAGUACGAUCGCAAGAUUAAAACUCAAAGGAAUUGACGGGGCCCCGCACAAGCAGCGGAGCAUGCGGCUUAAUUCGACGCAACGCGAAGAACCUUACCAAGGC
RNAcentral lists this ribosomal RNA (873 nucleotides) under uncultured bacterium. RNAcentral describes it as "bacterial SSU rRNA". It matches the Rfam family "Bacterial small subunit ribosomal RNA", at positions 93 to 980 of the family's 1533-position model. The record is from RNAcentral.